RNAcentral lists this ribosomal RNA (442 nucleotides) under uncultured soil bacterium. Its description in RNAcentral is "bacterial SSU rRNA". It matches the Rfam family "Bacterial small subunit ribosomal RNA", at positions 26 to 469 of the family's 1533-position model. The record is from RNAcentral.
AGGACGAACGCUGGCGGCGUGCCUAAUGCAUGCAAGUCGAGCGACGAAUAGGUGCGGGUAACCAAGCCUAUUACGGAGCGGCGAACGGGUGAGUAACACGUGAGCAACCUGCCCCGAAGACCGGGAUAGCCCAGGGAAACUUGGAUUAAUACCGGAUAUCCGUCCUUUGAUCGCAUGGUCGUUGGAAGAAAUCUUUACGCUUCGGGAUGGGCUCGCGGCCUAUCAGCUUGUGGUGGGUAACGCUACCAAGCGUCGACGGGUAGCUGGUCUGAGAGGACGAUCAAGCCACACUGGGACUGAGACACGGCCCAGACUCCUACGGGAGGCAGCAGCAGGGAAUUUGCGCAAUGGCGAAAGCCUGACGCAGCAACGCCGCGUGGGAUGAAGGCCGUUCGGGUUAGUAAACCCGUUUAGGAGGACGAAAGUUGACGUACCGUCAACG